UCCGAUAUGGUGUAGUGGCUAACAUUUUAUCGCCUCUCACGCGAUAGCCCGGGGUUCGAUUCCCCGUGUCGGAA
This is a non-coding RNA of Trametes cingulata, 74 nucleotides long. NCBI's taxonomy places the organism in Eukaryota, Fungi, Basidiomycota, Agaricomycetes, Polyporales, Polyporaceae. The record is from the annotation of a GenBank genome assembly.